Pan troglodytes (chimpanzee) is the source of this 2398-nucleotide long non-coding RNA. RefSeq lists it as uncharacterized. The record is from RefSeq and is a predicted model, not a curated record. The transcript has 3 exons. NCBI's taxonomy places the organism in Eukaryota, Metazoa, Chordata, Mammalia, Primates, Hominidae.
CGGGCGGAUCACCUGAGGUCGGGAGUUCGAGACCAGGCUGACCAACAUGGAGAAACCCCGUCUCUACUAAAAAUACAAAAUUAGCCGGGCGUGGUGGCACAUGCCUGUAAUCCUAGCUAUUCGGGAGGCUGAGGCAGGAGAAUCGCUUGAACGCAGGAGGCAGAGGUUGCAGUGAGCCGAGAUCUUACCAUUGCACUCCAGCCUGGGCAACAAGAGCCAAACUCUGUCUCAAAAAACAAAACAAAACAAAAACCAGCACCUUUUCUAACACCUGGGACUUUCCUAUGUGAAGAUAAGGCCAUUCUGCAUCCAUGGUGAUGUCACGACAUCUUCACACCCUCUUGUUAGGAAAAUUAGGCCAACGGAACACAAGAGACUAAUAUCACUUAUUCCUGUGAAUCAACCAGCGACCUCUGGCUCCUGUUCAAAAUAAACAAAAGGGAUUGGUAACACAAAGAUAUGGAUUGGCAUCCUACUUUUGGGUAUAAGAUGGAAUCACACAGAGAGUAAUUUAUUUGCUGAGUGGGCACAGACUUUAAUUUCUCUACAUAAUCGGACAAACUGUUGGGUAUGUGGAGAAUUGCCACUUUCCUCUACUUCUGGUUUGCCCUUGAAUAUUCAACUGGCCAACCUAAGUUUAUGGGGACUUUAUUAUGAUUGGGAAACUGAAUAUUGUAAACAUAGUCUCUCUUUUCCCUGGUACCAUAGCCACACAGGCCUUAGUCCUUUCCUCUCCUAUGGAGAGAAAAAAAGGCACUUUUUAAUGUAAUUAGGAAACAGCUAAACUCCACCCCAACUUUAGGUUAUACUGUACAUGAUGGACUUAGGCAGAUGACAGCUGUUCAAGUACUGGUAUCAGGCAAAGGACCUCUAUGUUUUGAAAGGUGCAAUAAUAGUCACCACCACACUGGAACACAUGAUAUAGGAUGGUUGCCGCCUCAAUAACAUAAUCAGACCCUUCUUUUAACAGACCAUAUUUGGUUGGGAUGGCAACAUAAUUCACCAAAAACGGGUGCCUACCCUUCCCCUUGGGGAUGGUUAUGGGCUUGCGGAACCCACGGCUGGCCAUACUUACCUUAUAAUUGGACUGGACAGUGGAUGUGGGGUCAUCCUUAUCUCCCAGGACACAUCCUCACCAAAUUGGACUCUCUCUCAUCUAACUGGGAAAUAGUAAAGGCUUGGCAUACGUGACAAAAAUGGGCAUUUUUGUGGUUCUACCUGUUGGCUAUAUUUUCCCCACAGGUGCCACGAUGGAUAUUGAGCUGCGAGUUGAAGCCCUAGCCAAGCACACGGCUGCAACUUUCAAUAAUACUUACCAUGCCUUACCUUCCUAACUUAGGAAACUUCUCAGAUUAGGCAGGUGACCUUACAAAAUUGUAUGGCUGUGGAAUUUUAACAGCAGCCUAAGGGGAAACUUGUGCUUUGAUCAAAACCGAAUGUUGUGUGUAUGUUCUGGACAGUUUACAUAAUAUUACCCAGCCUAUGAAAGCUUUAGACACUCAUAUCUCUGUCAUUGAUGCGCUGUCAGUCGACCCUGUAUCAACUUGGUUCCAAAAACUGCCCAGUUCUCGGCAAGCCUUCCUGUUUAGUUUACUUGGGAUGAUUUCAUUUAUUUUGCCUUGCUGCUGUGAAUACAUUGCUGUUGUACUUUUUGUGUAGGAAUGCAAGAUAAGCUUACUCAACGCUUUUUUAAAUUGAACACUUGUUAAUCUUCCAGAUAUCCCUUUUGCUGGGACUCAGAGUUACAAAUGACCCUCACCAUACUGACACUUUCUGACUGAGCUUCUCUCUACCCUGAAUAUAAGAGACCCUAACAGGUAGGUAGGAAUAUCAUUGCCCCUGUUCAGCAUGAAGUUACAGAAGAGGGAUCUUCAUUCUUCUGCAACCCUUAGGAUUACGGGUCCUCUUGUAAAAGGGAUGGGGAAAAUAUGUCAGAAGCAUUCGAACCAGAGUGACUCCAUCUUGAAUGUGCCUCCAUCUAGAAGAAUAAGGCUGGGACUUGCUGGGCUGGAUUCCCAGGAGGUUAGGUAUUCCUAGCCUGUAGAUGUUUCUGGUUAAGGGAACAGAUUAAAAAUGUUUACUAAACAGACCCAGGCCCAGGAAUGACUGAUAUCCUGACAUCCUGAGAACAAAGACAUUCCUAAUUUUGCUUUAAACAGAAUAAUACCAAUUCUUGCAAAAUAUAGUAAUUGAGAAAAUUAGUCCUUUAUCACAAGCCCUUGUAGUAGAGCACAUCUCCCUGUGAUUUGUUGUUGUUGUUGUUGUUGUUGUUAUCCUACAUAUAAACAAGCACUGUACUUAGGGUGAGUGCAUUCCUCCUCUUACUUUUGGGAAUGCCCUACUCUGUCUAUGGACUAUUUCACUCCUUCACUUUCUUAAUAAACUUACUUUCACUUUG